RNAcentral lists this ribosomal RNA (497 nucleotides) under uncultured bacterium. RNAcentral's name for it is "partial 16S ribosomal RNA". It matches the Rfam family "Bacterial small subunit ribosomal RNA", at positions 28 to 507 of the family's 1533-position model. The record is from RNAcentral.
GAUGAACGCUGGCGGCGUGCCUAAUACAUGCAAGUCGAACGAACAGACGAGGAGCUUGCUCCCCUGACGUUAGCGGCUGACGGGCGAGUAACACGUGGAUAACCUACCUCUAAUUCUGGGAGAAUUUCGGGAAACCGCAGCUAAUACCGGAUAAUAUAUUCAACCGCAUGGUUCAAUAGUGAAAGACGGCUUUCCCGUCACUUAUAGAUGGAUCCGCGCCGCAUUAGCUAGUUGGUAAGGUAACGGCUUACCAAGGCGACGAUGCGUAGCCGACCUGAGAGGGUGAUCGGCCACACUGGAACUGAGACACGGUCCAGACUCCUACGGGAGGCAGCAGUAGGGAAUCUUCCGCAAUGGGCGAAAGCUUGACGGAGCAACGCCGCGUGGGUGAUGAAGGUCUUCGGAUCGUAAAACUCUGUUGUUAGGGAAGAACAAAUGUGUAAGUAACUAUGCACGUCUUGACGGUACCUAAUCAGAAAGCCACGGCUAACUACGUG